AAUUUCCCCUGGAACAGUGUUGGGAACCACACACACAUACGUUAUUAAAACUGGCACUCAAGACAAGCCGGGAGCGAAAAGGGUAAGCAAUCUAUGUCGGACUUACCAAACAUUUGUUUACUAAAGGAAUUGGUAGGCACUUUAAGUAUGUCGUUGUCAAAUACUUAAUUGAUAGUUCAUGGUUGGUUGGAAAUGAGGCUAAAACUUUAAAAGUAAUUUGAUCUUUUGAAGUUGUUCGGUCAAGUAGACCGUGUUAGUUUUGUAUUGUCCAAGUCUUGUGUGUUUUUGAGAAUCACUUAUUAGGUCUAGACGUUUAGUUAUGGUUGAUUUGCUGAGAGGGGCAAAAGACAGAUGGAUAUCAGUUUACUAGAGGCCAUGGAGAAUGUUUUACUUGCCAAUAUGAGGAGGCAAGAGAAGAGGAGAGAAACUACACAAUAAAGUAAGGACUUCACUGACAUGGUCGCCG
Molecule: long non-coding RNA, 466 nt
Organism: Brassica oleracea var. oleracea
Lineage: Eukaryota; Viridiplantae; Streptophyta; Magnoliopsida; Brassicales; Brassicaceae
Exons: 3
Source: RefSeq, a predicted model, not a curated record